AUUGAGGAUGGCUCGGGGGAGGUUGUGCUGAGCCGGAAGGUACUGCUGGACGGGGUGCAGAACCCCCGAGCAGAAGACCUGGUGGGGAAGUCUUUGUACGUGUCUGCCACCGUCAUCUUGCACUCAGAGCGCAGCGGGAUCCCCAUCGUGACCUCUCCCUACCAGAUCCACUUCACCAAGACACCCAAGUACUUCAAACCAGGAAUGCCCUUUGACCUCAUGGUGUUCGUGACGAACCCUGAUGGCUCUCCAGCCUACCGAGUCCCCGUGGCAGUCCAGGGCGAGGACACUGUGCAGUCUCUAACCCAGGGAGAUGGCGUGGCCAAACUCAGCAUCAACACACACCCCA
Molecule: long non-coding RNA, 349 nt
Filed under: Homo sapiens (human)
Lineage: Eukaryota; Metazoa; Chordata; Mammalia; Primates; Hominidae
Description: non-protein coding lnc-GPR108-2:1
Source: RNAcentral